AAGCCGGUAGGGGGAGACCCAUGGCAAGGGCGCAGAAACGACACAGCCCGGAUUAUAUGCGAUGAACCCUUCGAGGGCGAGAUCUUUUCGGGAUAUGGUGAAACGGCGACUCCCCGCUGGAGCAAGUCCAAACAUGCCGGCCUCCAAUUGUCGGCGGGUAGGACGCAUUAGUCGAAUGCCGUCAACCCCUGCGGGGCGACCUGUUGGGGCUAACAGAAAGGGGCUUAUUACCUUCACCU
RNAcentral lists this RNase P RNA (239 nucleotides) under Methanobacteriota archaeon. Its description in RNAcentral is "Euryarchaeota archaeon (sediment metagenome) partial RNase P RNA component". It matches the Rfam family "Archaeal RNase P", at positions 73 to 288 of the family's 288-position model. Rfam says of the family: Ribonuclease P (RNase P) is a ubiquitous endoribonuclease, found in archaea, bacteria and eukarya as well as chloroplasts and mitochondria. Its best characterised activity is the generation of mature 5'-ends of tRNAs by cleaving the 5'-leader elements of precursor-tRNAs. Lineage: Archaea; Methanobacteriati; Methanobacteriota. The record is from RNAcentral.